RNAcentral lists this non-coding RNA (29 nucleotides) under Rattus norvegicus (Norway rat). Lineage: Eukaryota; Metazoa; Chordata; Mammalia; Rodentia; Muridae. The record is from RNAcentral.
UAGACAGCGAAGUCUAAAUGGAGGCAAGA